CGACUGGCGGUGGAACGCUUGGUUUUGGCAGCACGCACGGCGGGGCUUUGCGCGAUGCUGCGUCGUGUGCCCCUGCGUCUUGCACGCCGCAAGCACGGGCAGACGGCGUGGUCGCCGAACAACACGAGCAGCGGCGCUGCGCCGACGAACGGGAUCACCGCGCAGGAGGCUCUGCAGAUCGCGUACCGGCCGAUGCCGCCGGCGAACACGGUGGAGUACGAGGAGGACUUCGGGCCGAAUAUGAUGAUUCACCGCGAAUUUGUGUCGUCGAGGCACCGUACGCGCAUGGCCUCGGACAUCUCUGCGCUGGCGUACAGCGACGUGGAGCUUGCGCGGGCGCGCCAGCAGCUCGCGGGCGUGAUGAACCGCGAGCGGCGCGGCGCGCUUGUUGGGAGUGGCGGCGAGGCUGGCGACCGCGUGCUGUUCAACUCGGACGUGGACGAGACGACGCGGGAGGUGAAGAGCGCGCGCUUCCUGUUCAACGAGCAGCGCAUGCGGUUCUGCGACCGCUUCCAGACGUUCUUCCGCGAGCGCAUUGAGCGGCGGGCCGCUGGCGGCGCCGGCGAGGACGAUCACCCCUACUUCUCGCUGAUGGAGGCGUGCGCUGUGCUGCACGGGUGCGAUACGGUCGACGCGCGCGAGGUGUACUACCGCCGCUUCCUGGGGCUGGACCUGGACACGCUGGAGGCGGAGGAGGCUGCCGUGCGUGCGCGCGCAACGGAUGCGGCGGAGGUGGGCGCGCGGCUGACGCGGGGGAGGCUGGUGCUGGAGGUGGCGCUCUCGCGGCUGCUGCAGCUGGCGGUGCCGGCGGCGCGGGGAGCGCGACGGACGUAGUGCAGGACAUCAUUGACGCGCUUCCGCCGCUGUUUCCGCGGCCCGCGGCUGCGGAGGUGGGGGAGGCCGGCGAGGCUGUCGCCGAUGCGCCGCCAGCGCAUGCCUGGGCUGUGGGUGCCGGAGAGCUGCCUCCUGCGACGGCGGCGGCACCCGCGCACCUUGCCGAGGACGCCGCGCCGCUGUACAAGGCGUACCUUGCGCAUGCGCGCGGCGAGAGCCCCGUGGGCUCGUACGACGUGACGACGCUGGGCGCGCACGCGGCGCACGCGGAGCGGCGGCGGUGGCGCUCGCUGAUGGACAAGAUCGCUGCGGAAGACUACCACGAGCUGACUGCUGCCGAGCUGGAGGACGCGCACGUGCUGAACGGGCAGCUGCACACGGUGAAGUUCUUUGACCUGAAGGUCGGGGACACGGUGCGCGAGAUCGUGCAGUUGCUGGAGCGGGAGACGGGGUCGAGCGCGUCCGGCGACCGUGACGUGCCGGUGGAGAUGUCGCCGACGCACCCCGAGCGGCGCGUGUGAGGCUGUGCGGCUGCCGCUCUGCCUCUCUCCGGUUCCUCUCUCGCGCCGUGGCUCUCCCACCGAGGGAGACGUGCCUGCCGGGUGCAGAUCAGUCGCGACGGUGCGCCUACUCCCUCCUCCUCCUCCGCUGGCUUGUGACACAGCCCAUCACAGGCCAUCCACUCCUGCCCGCUCUCCCUCUUUCUUUACGUGCGCGUGGGCUGUAACGGCGCCCUCGGGUCUAGGCAGGGAGGUGCCACACCGAAC
This 1601-nucleotide unclassified non-coding RNA is filed under the name Leishmania donovani. RNAcentral's name for it is "gene:LdHU3.27.2260(CDS-product:hypothetical_prote in)". The record is from RNAcentral. Lineage: Eukaryota; Euglenozoa; Kinetoplastea; Trypanosomatida; Trypanosomatidae.